Arachis ipaensis is the source of this 260-nucleotide non-coding RNA. NCBI's taxonomy places the organism in Eukaryota, Viridiplantae, Streptophyta, Magnoliopsida, Fabales, Fabaceae. The record is from RefSeq and is a predicted model, not a curated record.
GAACCCUCUGUCACCGGGAAACCAACAUUCAAGCUGCCCAGGAAACCACCCUUAGAACCACUACUGUUUUGGUAGCUGCCGGCUCUAUUUGGAAACUGCUGCUAAGUCACCACCGAAGCUAAGAAUAGGUGCUGGGAUUUGAUGGAGCACCGCUGCUGCUGUGGAUUCGUAAUAUUGGGUUUACCGCGUUUAAAUUCUUCAAUUACGGCUAAUUGAGUGACACAGGUUCGAAGACUCCGUUUAAAGCUGCGAGCGAUUAU